GACGAACGCUGGCGGCGUGCUUAACACAUGCAAGUCGUACGGUAAGGCCCUUUCGGGGGUACACGAGUGGCGAACGGGUGAGUAACACGUGAGUAACCUGCCCACAACUUUGGGAUAACGCUAGGAAACUGGUGCUAAUACUGGAUAUGUGCCCCUGCUGCAUGGUGGGGGUUGGAAAGCUCCGGCGGUUGUGGAUGGACUCGCGGCCUAUCAGCUUGUUGGUGGGGUAGUGGCCUACCAAGGCGGCGACGGGUAGCCGGCCUGAGAGGGUGACCGGCCACAUUGGGACUGAGAUACGGCCCAGACUCCGACGGGAGGCAGCAGGGGGGAAUAUUGAACAAGGGGCGCAAGCCGGAUGCAGCAACGCCGCGGGCGGGAUGACGGCCUUCGGGUUGUAAACCGCAUUCAGCAGGGACGAAGCUUUUUGUGACGGUACCUGCAGAAGAAGCACCGGCUAACUACGUG
This 465-nucleotide ribosomal RNA is filed under the name uncultured bacterium. RNAcentral's name for it is "partial 16S ribosomal RNA". It matches the Rfam family "Bacterial small subunit ribosomal RNA", at positions 28 to 507 of the family's 1533-position model. The record is from RNAcentral.